This 328-nucleotide ribosomal RNA is filed under the name uncultured eukaryote. Its description in RNAcentral is "partial 18S ribosomal RNA". It matches the Rfam family "Eukaryotic small subunit ribosomal RNA", at positions 1470 to 1796 of the family's 1831-position model. The record is from RNAcentral.
CCCUUAGAUGUCCGGGGCUGCACGCGCGCUACACUGAAGGAAUCAGCGUGCUAAAACCAUUGUCGAAAGGCAUUGGUAAACCCAUUAAAAUCCUACGUGAUUGGGAUCGGGAAUUGCAAUUAUUUCCCUUGAACGAGGAAUUCCCAGUAAGUGUGGGUCAUAAGCUCGCGUUGAUUACGUCCCUGCCCUUUGUACACACCGCCCGUCGCUGCCCGGGACUGAGCCGUUUCGAGAAAAGCGGGGACUGUUGCUGUCGGGGCUUUCGGGCCUUGGCUUCGGUGGAAACCGCUUUAAUCGCAGUGGCUUGAACCGGGCAAAAGUCGUAACA